UUGUAGGGAACGUGAAAGGACGACCCUUCCGGGGAGGCCUAUACAGGUGUUGCAUGGCUGUCGUCAGCUCGUGUCGUGAGAUGUUCGGUUAAGUCCGCUAACGAGCGCAACCCUCGUCGUAUGUUAUAUGUGUCAUACGAGACUGCCGGUAAAAAGCCGGAGGAAGGUGAGGAUGAUGUCAAGUCAGCAUGACCUUUAUAUCCAGGGCUACACACACGCUACAAUGGUCUGUACAAUGGGUAGCCAAGCCGCGAGGCGGAGCCAAUCCUGAAAGCAGGCCUCAGUUCAGAUUGCAGUCUGCAACUCGACUGCAUGAAGCCGGAGUUGCUAGUAACCGCAGGUCAGCAAUACUGCGGUGAAUACGUUCCCGGGUCUU
This 376-nucleotide ribosomal RNA is filed under the name uncultured Anaerolineaceae bacterium. Its description in RNAcentral is "bacterial SSU rRNA". It matches the Rfam family "Bacterial small subunit ribosomal RNA", at positions 984 to 1382 of the family's 1533-position model. Lineage: Bacteria; Bacillati; Chloroflexota; Anaerolineae; Anaerolineales; Anaerolineaceae. The record is from RNAcentral.